Molecule: ribosomal RNA, 532 nt
Filed under: Penicillium sp. minfeng30
Lineage: Eukaryota; Fungi; Ascomycota; Eurotiomycetes; Eurotiales; Aspergillaceae
Description: eukaryotic LSU rRNA
Rfam family: 5.8S ribosomal RNA (bases 164-316)
Source: RNAcentral
CUCUGGGUCCAACCUCCCACCCGUGUUUAUUUUACCUUGUUGCUUCGGCGGGCCCGCCUUAACUGGCCGCCGGGGGGCUUACGCCCCCGGGCCCGCGCCCGCCGAAGACACCCUCGAACUCUGUCUGAAGAUUGUAGUCUGAGUGAAAAUAUAAAUUAUUUAAAACUUUCAACAACGGAUCUCUUGGUUCCGGCAUCGAUGAAGAACGCAGCGAAAUGCGAUACGUAAUGUGAAUUGCAAAUUCAGUGAAUCAUCGAGUCUUUGAACGCACAUUGCGCCCCCUGGUAUUCCGGGGGGCAUGCCUGUCCGAGCGUCAUUUCUGCCCUCAAGCACGGCUUGUGUGUUGGGCCCCGUCCUCCGAUCCCGGGGGACGGGCCCGAAAGGCAGCGGCGGCACCGCGUCCGGUCCUCGAGCGUAUGGGGCUUUGUCACCCGCUCUGUAGGCCCGGCCGGCGCUUGCCGAUCAACCCAAAUUUUUAUCCAGGUUGACCUCGGAUCAGGUAGGGAUACCCGCUGAACUUAAGCAUAUCAAU